RNAcentral lists this ribosomal RNA (484 nucleotides) under uncultured bacterium. RNAcentral's name for it is "partial 16S ribosomal RNA". It matches the Rfam family "Bacterial small subunit ribosomal RNA", at positions 30 to 507 of the family's 1533-position model. The record is from RNAcentral.
AUUGAACGCUGGCGGCAGGCCUAACACAUGCAAGUCGAGCGGAUGAAGGGAGCUUGCUCCUGGAUUCAGCGGCGGACGGGUGAGUAAUGCCUAGGAAUCUGCCUGGUAGUGGGGGAUAACGUCCGGAAACGGGCGCUAAUACCGCAUACGUCCUGAGGGAGAAAGUGGGUGAUCUUCGGACCUCACGCUAUCAGAUGAGCCUAGGUCGGAUUAGCUAGUUGGUGGGGUAAAGGCCUACCAAGGCGACGAUCCGUAACUGGUCUGAGAGGAUGAUCAGUCACACUGGAACUGAGACACGGUCCAGACUACUACGGGACGCAGCAGUGGGGAAUAUUGGACAAUGGGCGAAAGCAUGAUCCAGCCAUGCCGCGUGUGUGAAGAAGGUCUUCGGAUUGUAAAGCACUUUAAGUUGGGAGGAAGGGCAGUAAGUUAAUACCUUGCUGUUUUGACGUUACCAACAGAAUAAGCACCGGCUAACUUCGUG